GACGAACGCUGGCGGCGAGCCUAAUACAUGCAAGUCGAGCGCAGGAAGCUGACGGAACUCUUCGGAGAGAAGGCAAUGGAAUGAGCGGCGGACGGGUGAGUAACACGUAAGGAACCUGCCUCAAGGAUUGGGAUAACUCCGAGAAAUCGGAGCUAAUACCGGAUAGUUCAACGGACCGCAUGGUCCGCUGAUGAAAGGCGCUUCGGCGUCACCUUGAGAUGGCCUUGCGGUGCAUUAGCUAGUUGGUGGGGUAACGGCCCACCAAGGCGACGAUGCAUAGCCGACCUGAGAGGGUGAUCGGCCACACUGGGACUGAGACACGGCCCAGACUCCUACGGGAGGCAGCAGUAGGGAAUCUUCCACAAUGGACGAAAGUCUGAUGGAACAACGCCGCGUGAGUGAUGAAGGUUUUCGGAUCGUAAAACUCUGUUGUAAGGGAAGAACACGUACGAGAGGGAAUGCUCGUACCUUGACGGUACCUUACGAGAAAGCCACGGCUAACUACGUGCCAGCCGCCGCCGUAA
RNAcentral lists this ribosomal RNA (524 nucleotides) under uncultured bacterium. Its description in RNAcentral is "partial 16S ribosomal RNA". It matches the Rfam family "Bacterial small subunit ribosomal RNA", at positions 28 to 523 of the family's 1533-position model. The record is from RNAcentral.